RNAcentral lists this transfer RNA (73 nucleotides) under Streptomyces phage BillNye. Its description in RNAcentral is "tRNA-Thr". It matches the Rfam family "tRNA". From Rfam's summary of the family: Transfer RNA (tRNA) molecules are approximately 80 nucleotides in length. Their secondary structure includes four short double-helical elements and three loops (D, anti-codon, and T loops). The record is from RNAcentral. Lineage: Duplodnaviria; Heunggongvirae; Uroviricota; Caudoviricetes; Stanwilliamsviridae. RNAcentral also lists the same sequence under 2 other names.
GCCUGCGUAGCUCAGUGGUAGAGCACUUUCUUGGUAAGAAAGAGGUCCUGAGUUCAAUCCUCAGCGUAGGCUC